RNAcentral lists this ribosomal RNA (301 nucleotides) under uncultured bacterium. RNAcentral's name for it is "partial 16S ribosomal RNA". It matches the Rfam family "Bacterial small subunit ribosomal RNA", at positions 509 to 807 of the family's 1533-position model. The record is from RNAcentral.
CAGCCGCCGCGGUAAUACGUAGGUGGCAAGUGUUGUCCGGAAUUAUUGGGCGUAAGGGGCUCGCAGGCAGUUUCUUAAGUCUGAUGUGAAAGCCCCCGGCUCAACCGGGGAGGGUCAUUGGAAACUGGGAAACUUGAGUGCAGAAGAGGAGAGUGGAAUUCCACGUGUAGCGGUGAAAUGCGUAGAGAUGUGGAGGAACACCAGUGGCGAAGGCGACUCUCUGGUCUGUAACUGACGCUGAGGAGCGAAAGCGUGGGGAGCGAACAGGAUUAGAUACCCGCGUAGUCCCUGUCUCUUAUAC